GAUGAAGAACGCAGCGAAAUGCGAUAAGUAGUGUGAAUUGCAGAAUUCAGUGAAUCAUCGAAUCUUUGAACGCACAUUGCGCCCUUUGGUAUUCCAAAGGGCAUGCCUGUUCGAGCGUCAUUUGUACCCUCAAGCUUUGCUUGGUGUUGGGCGUCUUGUCUCUGGCUUUGCUGGAGACUCGCCUUAAAGUAAUUGGCAGCCGGCCUACUGGUUUCGGAGCGCAGCACAAGUCGCACUCUCUAUCAGCAAAGGUCUAGCAUCCAUUAAGCCUUUUUUUCAACUUUUGACCUCGGAUCAGGUAGGGAUACCCGCUGAACUUAAGCAUAUCAAUAAGCGGAGGA
RNAcentral lists this unclassified non-coding RNA (341 nucleotides) under soil metagenome. Its description in RNAcentral is "partial contains 5.8S ribosomal RNA, internal transcribed spacer 2, and large subunit ribosomal RNA". The stretch from base 1 to 120 matches the Rfam family "5.8S ribosomal RNA", at positions 35 to 154 of the family's 154-position model. The record is from RNAcentral.